Molecule: ribosomal RNA, 253 nt
Filed under: uncultured bacterium
Lineage: Bacteria
Description: partial 16S ribosomal RNA
Rfam family: Bacterial small subunit ribosomal RNA
Source: RNAcentral
AACGUAGGAGGCGAGCGUUAUCCGGAGUUACUGGGCGUAAAGCGGAUGUAGGCGGUGGCUCGCGUCGGAUGUGAAAGCUCCUGGCUCAACCGGGAGAGGGCGUCGGAUACGGGGUCACUAGAGGGCAGCAGAGGAGCGUGGAAUUCCGGGUGUAGUGGUGAAAUGCGUAGAGAUCCGGAGGAACACCAGAGGCGCAGGCGACGCUCUGGGCUGCUACUGACGCUGAGAACCGAAGGCAUGGGGAGCGAACGGG